UACGUAGGGACCAAGCGUUGUUCGGAUUUACUGGGCGUAAAGGGCGCGUAGGCGGCGCGGUAAGUCACUUGUGAAAUCUCUGAGCUUAACUCAGAACGGCCAAGUGAUACUGCAGUGCUAGAGUGUGGAAGGGGCAAUCGGAAUUCUUGGUGUAGCGGUGAAAUGCGUAGAUAUCAAGAGGACCACCUGAGGUGAAGACGGGUUGCUGGGCCAACACUGACGCUGAGGCGCGAAAGCCAGGGGAGCAAACGGG
This 253-nucleotide ribosomal RNA is filed under the name uncultured bacterium. RNAcentral describes it as "partial 16S ribosomal RNA". It matches the Rfam family "Bacterial small subunit ribosomal RNA", at positions 524 to 776 of the family's 1533-position model. The record is from RNAcentral.